UUAGAAGUGCCAGAUUAGAAUGGGUUGAAUUAAGGUUUCAAUAAUGGUUAUUAUUAUCCCUUCUAAG
This 67-nucleotide transfer RNA is filed under the name Tylodelphys immer. RNAcentral's name for it is "tRNA-Leu". Lineage: Eukaryota; Metazoa; Platyhelminthes; Trematoda; Diplostomida; Diplostomidae. The record is from RNAcentral.